GUGCCCUAUCGAAGCUCUUCCCCUACUGUAGGGGAUUCCUUUGAAGUCCAUGAUUCGGGAUCUAAGAAGAGAGGUUCGUCACCUAACGAAGAAAUCAAAGAAGAUGGAUGACGAACUUCAUAAGCUGAGGAAGAGCCAUUCGGAAGCUACUGUGAAGGUUACUCACCUUUGGAACCUCCACAAAAAGGGCUUCAUGGACUACAC
This 204-nucleotide long non-coding RNA is filed under the name Elaeis guineensis (African oil palm). RNAcentral's name for it is "long non-coding RNA (EGUI_LNC054199)". Lineage: Eukaryota; Viridiplantae; Streptophyta; Magnoliopsida; Arecales; Arecaceae. The record is from RNAcentral.